RNAcentral lists this ribosomal RNA (429 nucleotides) under Pseudomonadota bacterium. RNAcentral describes it as "Proteobacteria bacterium partial 16S ribosomal RNA". It matches the Rfam family "Bacterial small subunit ribosomal RNA", at positions 355 to 776 of the family's 1533-position model. Lineage: Bacteria; Pseudomonadati; Pseudomonadota. The record is from RNAcentral.
UGGGGAAUAUUGGACAAUGGGCGAAAGCCUGAUCCAGCCAUGCCGCGUGUGUGAAGAAGGUCUUCGGAUUGUAAAGCACUUUAAGUUGGGAGGAAGGGCAGUAAGCGAAUACCUUGCUGUUUUGACGUUACCGACAGAAUAAGCACCGGCUAACUCUGUGCCAGCAGCCGCGGUAAUACAGAGGGUGCAAGCGUUAAUCGGAAUUACUGGGCGUAAAGCGCGCGUAGGUGGUUCGUUAAGUUGAAUGUGAAAGCCCCGGGCUCAACCUGGGAACUGCAUCCAAAACUUGCUCGCUCGAGUAGGGCAGAGGGUGGUGGAAUUCCCUGUGUAUCGGUGAAAUGCGUAGAUAUAGGUAGGAACACCAGUGGCGAAGGCGACCACCUGAGCUCAUACUGACACUGAGGUGCGAAAGCGUGGGGAGCAAACAGG